RNAcentral lists this ribosomal RNA (449 nucleotides) under uncultured eubacterium WR132. RNAcentral describes it as "bacterial SSU rRNA". It matches the Rfam family "Bacterial small subunit ribosomal RNA", at positions 34 to 527 of the family's 1533-position model. The record is from RNAcentral.
CGCUGGCGGCAUGCCUAACACAUGCAAGUCGAACGAAGUCCUUCGGGGCUUAGUGGCGCACGGGUGCGUAACGCGUGGGAAUCUGCCCUUGGGUUCGGAAUAACAGUGGGAAACUGCUGCUAAUACCGGAUGAUGACGUWAGUCCAAAGAUUUAUCGCCCAAGGAUGAGCCCGCGUAGGAUUAGGUAGUUGGUGGGGUAAAGGCCUACCAAGCCGACGAUCCUUAGCUGGUCUGAGAGGAUGAUCAGCCACACUGGGACUGAGACACGGCCCAKACUCCUACGGGAGGCAGCAGUGGGGAAUAUUGGACAAUGGGGGAAACCCUGAUCCAGCAAUGCCGCGUGAGUGAUGAAGGCCUUAGGGUUGUAAAGCUCUUUUACCCGGGAUGAUAAUGACAGUACCGGGAGAAUAAGCUCCGGCUAACUCCGUGCCAGCAGCCGCGGUAAUACG